AACGCAUCUUGCGCUCCUUGGUAUUCCGAGGAGCAUGCCUGUUUGAGUGUCGUGAAUCUUCUCAAACUCAACCUUUUCUUAAUUGAAAUGUGUUGUGGGUUUGGACUUGGAUGUUUUGCUGUCAAAGCUUCUUGACGGCUCGUCCGAAAUGCAUUAGCAGAUCUCACCUCUUAAAGGUUCAUGCUAACGGUGUGAUAAGACACAAACUUGUUUACCCGUUGAACGAACUGGAGAAAAGUGUGUAAGGCUGCUUCUAGCUGUCUGUUCGCAGACAAACUCUUCACAAUCUGACCUCAAAUCAGGUAGGACUACCCGCUGAACUUAA
This 325-nucleotide unclassified non-coding RNA is filed under the name uncultured fungus. RNAcentral describes it as "partial contains 5.8S ribosomal RNA, internal transcribed spacer 2, and large subunit ribosomal RNA". The stretch from base 1 to 52 matches the Rfam family "5.8S ribosomal RNA", at positions 103 to 154 of the family's 154-position model. The record is from RNAcentral. Lineage: Eukaryota; Fungi.